GAGCGAACGCUGGCGGCAGGCUUAACACAUGCAAGUCGAGCGGGCAUCCUUGUGGUGUCAGCGGCAGACGGGUGAGUAACGCGUGGGAACGUGCCCUUCGGUUCGGAAUAACUCAGGGAAACUUGAGCUAAUACCGGAUACGUGCGAGAGCAGAAAGGUUUAUCUGCCGAAGGAUCGGCCCGCGUCUGAUUAGCUAGUUGGUGAGGUUAUGGCUCACCAAGGCGACGAUCAGUAGCUGGUCUGAGAGGAUGAUCAGCCACACUGGGACUGAGACACGGCCCAGACUCCUACGGGAGGCAGCAGUGGGGAAUAUUGGACAAUGGGGGCAACCCUGAUCCAGCCAUGCCGCGUGAGUGAUGACGGCCUUAGGGUUGUAAAGCUCUUUUCUCCGGGACGAUAAUGACGGUACCGGAGGAAUAAGCCCCGGCUAACUUCGU
Molecule: ribosomal RNA, 437 nt
Filed under: uncultured bacterium
Lineage: Bacteria
Description: partial 16S ribosomal RNA
Rfam family: Bacterial small subunit ribosomal RNA
Source: RNAcentral